RNAcentral lists this unclassified non-coding RNA (489 nucleotides) under Hevea brasiliensis (rubber tree). The record is from RNAcentral. Lineage: Eukaryota; Viridiplantae; Streptophyta; Magnoliopsida; Malpighiales; Euphorbiaceae.
GUUUUACGCAGAAUCCUGAUUGGUGGAACUACUGGGUGCUCUUUGCAUUGCUACUUAUAAAUAGUUCCAUGCAGGCCAGUGCUGAGCAUUGAUUUAUCCAUUUUCAGCAGACACUCCUGCUGGGCAUUGAUUUAUCCAUCAGUUGCGACCAGUGUUUCCACCAUACCCUCGUACUCGCAAGAUGAUGCCAUUCUUCCCAGGAAGACCACUCGCCAAUCACCAUCCUUUUGCGCUCCAACUUCUGUUAUCCACCUCGCUGUUGCUUUCUUUUUCUUAUUUUUCUGCUUCUGCAUUUGCUGCUGCUGCUACUUCUAGGAGGAGACAAGGACAAGAAGCGGAGGCACUUCUCAGAUGGAAGAACAGCCUCCAUGAUCCAACUCAUUCUCUGCUCGCAUCCUGGAAGCUUGACAAUUCCACCUUGCCAUCUAAUUCUUCUUCCAGCAGUCCCUGCAACUGGGUUGGAAUAGCUUGUGAUGAGUCAGGAAGUGU